Non-coding RNA from Sus scrofa (pig), 2174 nucleotides. The record is from RefSeq and is a predicted model, not a curated record. NCBI's taxonomy places the organism in Eukaryota, Metazoa, Chordata, Mammalia, Artiodactyla, Suidae.
ACUACACUGUUGCUCAUGGCAACACCAGAUCAUUAACCCACUGAGCAAGGCCAGGGAUCGAACGCACAUCCUCAUGGAUCAGAGUCAAGUUUGUUACCACUGAGCCAGGACGGAAACUCCCUCCUUGUUAACUUUUAAUUUGCCCUUCUGUUAAGUUGCCCAGUGAUAACACCUGUGAUUUUUAAGGGUUUCUUUAGAAUUCUGUAGCUCCCCCGGUGACUAUGAGAUGAACAUGAUCAACUUUAUCUUUAGCAGUUGCAGAUCCUGGGGCUUACCUCCUCAGGCACUGGGACCUCGGAUGCUCGUAGUGCCUACAGGCCUGGCUGGUGGUUCACUUCACUCACCAGCCCUUAACUUCUAGGGGUCAUGUCGUUGCACUGAAUCAUCCUUCUGAAUGGUGUGUGGGCACUGAGAGGGAUCCUCUCAGGCUUUAAACUCCUGGUGAAACUGACAGCACUAACGGGCUGAACCUAGCCAGAACACAGAUUGGGACUUAAACACACGUGCUGGGACUUGAACCCACAGUUUUAAAUUAGAAUUACUCACCCUGUGUCUGGACUCAGUAAGGUUCAGAUUCUCUGUGCCUCUGCACAUAAGGAAUUCAGCAAGAGACAAAGUAAUAGGCAAGAAACAGAUUUAUUAGGAUAGGAGGCUUGUGAGAGAUGCAAUCGGGCAGUCAGGGAAACCCAGCCCGGGGAGGAUCUGGUGGGCUACAGACUUAUCAUCCAAGGGGCGUGGUGGUUGGAAAGGCCCGCCUCUUCCUUUCUGGGAGUAGUAGCUCCUCCUUGGUAUCCAGUAAGGUGUGUAUUCAAAUCAGCAGAAGGGCGGUCCUCAAACUCUUGCCCUUGGUCUGAAUCUGAAUGCACGCCUCAUCCCUAGGACCUGAAGCAAUUUUCGUACCUCCACUAGUCAAGCAAGCCUGCCUUGUGCUGAUGGCUUUCUUGAACUUGCAGUGGUCUCCCCACAUCCCCCAGGUGUCCCUCUUUAUCUGUGAUCCCCUACUGGGACUUCUACAACCACCUGUGCCUACUCUAUCCCUAUCCCUGGGACCAUUGAAAUUUUCUUCCUCACUUUCUCUGGUUUUAGUUCAGAUGGAUGCCCUUCAUUAGGACCUGAAUUAAACUUGGAUGUCAGAGACUCCCAAAUCUCCGUGGCAUAGUGUUAGUGUAAUGGGGGUGAGAACGGGAUGCAGCUUCUAUUAUAUUCCCGUGUCCUUUUCUGAACUCCCUUCUUCCUUCUCAAGAGUGUUACAUGGCAAAUCAUUAAUUAAGAGUUUUUAAAAAUUACUCAUGUAACAUUUAACCUUGGGCCAGGCACUCUUCUCAACAGGUAACAAAUGGUAUUCAUUUAAUUCCUGGCAGUCCCUGAUGAAUGGGAAAAUAGGUUCUGAAAAGUUAGGUAAGCUUAUCUCAAUCACAGAGCAGGUGAUGAAGAAGCCAGGAUUCCACCCAGGUGUUUUGGCUCCUGCACGUCCUUAACCAUGAGGCUUUGCUCCCAUUCUUGGCUUGAAGAUGCCUUUUGCUGCAUCCCCACCCCAGGUCAGUGUGAAAGGCCUACAAGCUGGUUUCCUUACCGUCUCCCUCUCAAAGCAGCAGAAUAGAGAGUUCCUAAGGCUGAGGCUUCUAUAGAGAGUUUGCCAACCCGAUACGAAGCAACCUGUAUGAAAGCACCGGAUUGAAAGGCGUUGUCUGUGAAGUUGUUGUAGGACCGGGAAAUGUCCCAUCCUGAGAUGGACCACAAGAAAGGAUCCUUGGCUUUGCCCAAAAAUUCCUUGUAGUCUGAGAAGAAGACCUCUCUGUGUCAUGCUGACUGGCUCAACAUCUAAUAGAAAACACUGAAGAAGCAGAGGACAGAAUGGCAACCACAAUACUAGAAACUGAAGUGAGAAAUUCCAGAAAGUUUGGGGGGAACCCACAUUGUGCUGUAAAUGCUGACCAAAUUCCUUGCUUGACCUCUAAAUCAUGUAUGUGCAGAGACUCAAGGUAAGGCUCAAAGCAGCAAACUGCAAUUUGAGCUGCCACUCACUGCCUGCUAAACAAAUCAAAUGUGUGAGUUCCCUUCAUGGCUCAGCAGUUAAUGAACUCGACUAGGAUCCAUGAGGACAUGGGUUCAAUCCCUGGCCUCACUCAGUGUGUUAAGGAUCUGGCGUUGCCAUCAGCUGUGGCAACUUCCAU